Molecule: ribosomal RNA, 497 nt
Filed under: uncultured bacterium
Lineage: Bacteria
Description: partial 16S ribosomal RNA
Rfam family: Bacterial small subunit ribosomal RNA
Source: RNAcentral
GAUGAACGCUGGCGGCGUGCCUAAUACAUGCAAGUCGAGCGAACGGACGAGAAGCUUGCUUCUCUGAUGUUAGCGGCGGACGGGUGAGUAACACGUGGAUAACCUACCUAUAAGACUGGGAUAACUUCGGGAAGCCGGAGCUAAUACCGGAUAAUAUUUUGAACCGCAUGGUUCAAAAGUGAAAGACGGUCUUGCUGUCACUUAUAGGUGGAUCCGCGCUGCAUUAGCUAGUUGGUAAGGUAACGGCUUACCAAGGCAACGAUGCAUAGCCGACCUGAGAGGGUGAUCGGCCACACUGGAACUGAGACACGGUCCAGACUCCUACGGGAGGCAGCAGUAGGGAAUCUUCCGCAAUGGGCGAAAGCCUGACGGAGCAACGCCGCGUGAGUGAUGAAGGUCUUCGGAUCGUAAAACUCUGUUAUUAGGGAAGAACAUAUGUGUAAGUAACUGUGCACAUCUUGACGGUACCUAAUCAGAAAGCCACGGCUAACUACGUG